Molecule: non-coding RNA, 75 nt
Organism: Ferroplasma sp. Type II
Lineage: Archaea; Methanobacteriati; Thermoplasmatota; Thermoplasmata; Thermoplasmatales; Ferroplasmaceae
Source: Rfam
GGGCACGUGGCCUAGCAUGGAUAGGGCAACAGCCUCCUAAGCUGUAAAUCAGGGGUCCAAAUCCCCUCGUGCCCG